This 253-nucleotide ribosomal RNA is filed under the name uncultured bacterium. RNAcentral describes it as "partial 16S ribosomal RNA". It matches the Rfam family "Bacterial small subunit ribosomal RNA", at positions 524 to 776 of the family's 1533-position model. The record is from RNAcentral.
UACAAAGGGUGCGAGCGUUAAUCGGAAUUACUGGGCGUAAAGCGUGCGCAGGCGGUUCGUUGUGUCGGUGGUGAAAUCCCCGGGCUUAACCUGGGAAUGGCCAUGGAAACUGGCGAACUGGAGUGCGGCAGAGGGGGGUGGAAUUCCGCGUGUAGCAGUGAAAUGCGUAGAUAUUGGGAGGAACACCGGUGGCGAAGGCGGCCCCCUGGACCGGUACUGACGCUGAGGCGCGAAAGCGUGGGUAGCAAACGGG